GACGAACGCUGGCGGCGUGCUUAACACAUGCAAGUCGAACGGAAAGGCCCUGCUUUUGUGGGGUGCUCGAGUGGCGAACGGGUGAGUAACACGUGAGUAACCUGCCCUUGACUUUGGGAUAACUUCAGGAAACUGGGGCUAAUACCGGAUAGGAGCUCCUGCUGCAUGGUGGGGGUUGGAAAGUUUCGGCGGUUGGGGAUGGACUCGCGGCUUAUCAGCUUGUUGGUGGGGUAGUGGCUUACCAAGGCUUUGACGGGUAGCCGGCCUGAGAGGGUGACCGGCCACAUUGGGACUGAGAUACGGACCAGACUCCUACGGGAGGCAGCAGUGGGGAAUAUUGCACAAUGGGCGGAAGCCUGAUGCAGCAACGCCGCGUGCGGGAUGACGGCCUUCGGGUUGUAAACCGCUUUCGCCUGUGACGACGCGUGAGUGACGGUAAUGGGUAAAGAAGCACCGGCUAACUACGUG
Molecule: ribosomal RNA, 468 nt
Filed under: uncultured bacterium
Lineage: Bacteria
Description: partial 16S ribosomal RNA
Rfam family: Bacterial small subunit ribosomal RNA
Source: RNAcentral